This 2501-nucleotide small RNA is filed under the name Pongo abelii (Sumatran orangutan). RNAcentral describes it as "processed transcript". The record is from RNAcentral. Lineage: Eukaryota; Metazoa; Chordata; Mammalia; Primates; Hominidae.
AAAGGUGCAAAUUGAAACUCGAAAGCCCGCAAAUUAACGGGGUGUCUCUCUCCUGAUGAAGAGGUAUUGCACUCUCAGUCUCGCCAUGUUGAAGUCAGAAUGGCCUGUAUUCACUAUCUUCGAGAGAACAGAGAGAAAUUUGAAGCGUUUAUAGAAGGAUCAUUUGAAGAAUAUUUAAAGCGUUUGGAAAAUCCACAGGAAUGGGUAGGACAAGUGGAAAUAAGUGCCCUUUCUCUUAUGUACAGGAAAGAUUUUAUAAUUUAUCGGGAACCAAAUGUUUCUCCUUCACAAGUAACUGAAAAUAAUUUUCCUGAAAAGGUGUUACUGUGUUUUUCAAAUGGAAAUCAUUAUGAUAUUGUGUAUCCCAUAAAGUAUAAAGAAAGCUCUGCUAUGUGUCAGUCUCUCCUUUAUGAAUUGCUGUAUGAGAAGGUAUUUAAAACUGAUGUUAGUAAAAUUGUGAUGGAACUAGACACGUUGGAAGUAGCUGAUGAAGAUAACAGUGAAAUAUCAGAUUCAGAGGAUGACAGUUGCAAGAGUAAAACUGCUGCUGCUGCUGCUGCUGAUGUGAAUGGAUUUAAAUCUUUGUCAGGCAAUGAGCAGCUGAAGAACAAUGGGAACUCUACUAGCCUGCCUUUGUCUAGAAAGGUUCUUAAGUCACUCAAUCCUGCAGUCUAUAGAAAUGUGGAAUAUGAAAUUUGGCUGAAGUCUAAACAAGCUCAGCAAAAACGUGAUUAUUCCAUUGCUGCUGGCUUACAAUAUGAAGUUGGAGACAAAUGUCAAGUUAGGUUGGAUCACAAUGGAAAAUUUUUGAAUGCAGAUGUUCAAGGAGUUCAUUCUGAGAAUGGACCAGUUUUGGUUGAAGAACUGGGAAAGAAGCACACAUCAAAGAACCUCAAGGCACCUCCCCCAGAAAGCUGGAACACAGUGUCAGGGAAGAAGAUGAAAAAACCUUCCACUUCUGGACAAAAUUUCCAUUCUGAUGUGGAUUACAGAGGGCCAAAGAAUCCAAGCAAGCCAAUAAAAGCCCCAUCAGCACUACCUCCUCGACUGCAGCAUCCUUCAGGAGUAAGACAACAUGCGUUCUCUAGUCAUUCUUCAGGGUCACAGUCUCAGAAAUUCUCCAGUGAGCACAAAAAUCUUAGCCGGACACCUUCACAGAUCGUAAGAAAACCUGAUCGUGAAAGAGUUGAGGAUUUUGAUCACACAAGUCGAGAAUCUAACUAUUUCGGCCUUUCCCCAGAAGAGCGCAGAGAGAAGCAAGCUAUAGAAGAAUCCCGUUUACUCUAUGAGAUUCAGAACAGAGAUGAACAGGCUUUCCCAGCCCUUUCCAGCUCAUCAGUCAGUCAGUCAGCUUCUCAGAGUAGCAAUCCAUGUGUCCAGAGAAAAUCAUCACAUGUAAGCGAUAGAAAAGGAAGCAGGCGGAGAAUGGAUACAGAAGAACGAAAAGACAAAGACUCUAUUCAUGGACAUAGUCAGUUGGAUAAAAGACCCGAACCAAGCACAUUGGAGAAUAUUACUGAUGAUAAAUAUGCAACAGUUUCGUCACCAUCAAAGUCGAAGAAGUUAGAGUGCCCUUCUCCUGCAGAACAAAAGCCAGCAGAACAUGUGUCUUUGUCAAAUCCAGCUCCCCUUCUAGUUUCUCCAGAGGUACAUCUAACUCCUGCGGUGCCUUCUUUACCAGCCACUGUGCCAGCCUGGCCAAGUGAACCUACAACUUUUGGACCAACAGGUGUCCCUGCUCCAAUUCCCGUUUUGUCAGUGACACAGACUUUGACCACUGGACCUGAUUCUGCUGUAUCCCAAGCUCAUUUAACACCCUCUCCAGUUCCUGUGUCAAUACAGGCAGUUAACCAGCCCUUGAUGCCUUUGCCUCAGACAUUGAGCCUUUAUCAAGACCCACUCUAUCCUGGGUUUCCUUGUAAUGAAAAGGGAGAUCGAGCCAUUGUACCACCUUAUUCACUGUGUCAGACUGGGGAGGACCUACCUAAAGAUAAGAAUAUUCUUCGAUUCUUCUUCAAUCUUGGUGUGAAGUGGUGUUUUGUAGUAGAUAAUCUUCCUCGGAAACCAUAUACUGGUAAUAUAGUGCAAAGACUGAAAACAAAUAAUAAACAUAAUCCUGAUGUUUAUUUAUCAAAUGUCAAUCAGUGGAAUCUUUGACUGGCUUUUAAAAUAAGGGCAGUUUCAUCACACUGGCAUACUUGGCAAACCAGCAGCAUCACAACUGAAAACUCUACAAUAUGGAUGAAGAUAAACAAAAAUCGUAAAGUAACCUACAUAUCAGCUUUCUGUAUGCAAACGACAGCACAAGCAAAUCUCUGCAACUCUCCUCCUGAAAGAUCUUCAACAUUUCGUUCUUUUAGGUGGGUUAAAUCUACAAAGAACAUAGAGGCAUUGUGCUCAAUGUAUUUCACCUCUUCCAGGUAAAAUGUAUACUGCAUGUCAUCAUUUGAAGUUUGAAUGCUAUUUCAGUUGAAAAUUGUUUAAAUAUAACAAUUACUGGA